RNAcentral lists this long non-coding RNA (411 nucleotides) under Homo sapiens (human). Its description in RNAcentral is "HSALNT0189146". Lineage: Eukaryota; Metazoa; Chordata; Mammalia; Primates; Hominidae. The record is from RNAcentral.
GAACUUCUGGCCUCCAGAGCUGCAGUGAAUGCUGGAAGCCAAGCUUGCACAUUCUAGGCAGCCAUUUGGAAGAUUCUUCUCUGCGCAUGACCAGCUGAAAAGGAAAAACCCCGAAACAUUGGCACUGUGAUUUCUCCAUGUGAACAGUUUAGUUCGCCGAGGUGGACAUGCCUCAUUCAUGCUUAUGGAGUGACCGACCAGCCUUUAGUGACACCCCCUGAAAUGUGAGUCAUCCAUGGGUCACUAGUCAUUGGAGAAGAGCCCCUUAUACAAAACUUGGAGCUCAGACCACAAACAACAACAACAAUCCAAAAAAUAAAAAAAUGAAAAAUUAGGAGCAGAGACUAAAUGGAAAGAUGGAAAUAUUAAAAUAAAAAUAUUAUUUUAAAAAUUAAUAUGUAUUAAAAUUUU